Molecule: long non-coding RNA, 985 nt
Organism: Equus caballus (horse)
Lineage: Eukaryota; Metazoa; Chordata; Mammalia; Perissodactyla; Equidae
Source: RefSeq, a predicted model, not a curated record
CGGAGUUGGGAUCGAGACGGACCGGCAUUCCGCAGGAAGUCGGAGCGCCGGGUUUGGAGGAGGAGUUUGGGGCUGCACCGUCAGCCGCGUGGCCGCCUAGCUCUUCCAGACAGUCGAGCACGUUCAGGGUCCCAGGUGAAGAGCGAAAGCGAAUGGAGGGUUUCUGGAAACUUGAACUAAGCUCAAGGUGACGAGGGAGAGGACAUGGGGCUCUCAAUGGGGCCGGGGUCUCUCUGCCAAGAGCUUAAAAGUCGUGAGGUGAGAUGAGCAGAAAAAGGCAUUGCCUUCCCAAAGACCAAAGCUUGAAAUUUCACCCUUGCAUCAGCCACAGAGGGCACAGGGCUUUCUCACAUCUCGCAUCCAGCAUGAAGCAGACGAACCGAGGCAAAUGUUCCUCCAUUUGGUGAAGGCCAAAUCGAGGGCAUAAUCUGAGUGAGUUAUCUGGAGAAGAUAAUUAUUACACCUCAACUGUAUAGAACACAGAAGUUGUUUAAGCUGCCAUUUGUUGAACACACACAAUGGCUCUCUUCCACCUGUGUUCCUGUCAAGCUUGGGAACAACAUCUGGUUCAUUUUGUAUCUACAAUGUCUUGCCUAAUGCUUAACACAUGCUCAGAAAAUGUUGAAACAGAGUCUCUUGCCCUUCUCCUGAAUCUGGAAUGGCCCUGUGACUUGCUUUGAUCAAUAAAAUGUGGCAGAAAUGAUGGUGCGCAGCUUCUGAGGCCUGACAUUAUGAUACCUUGCAGCUUCCACCUUUAAUCUUUUGCAACACUCUUCUGAGACUUCCCAGGAUGAAAGAAAACAUGGAAGGCAAGACUAAUCCAUCAACCAGCACCAACUGACAGACUUGGGAGUGAGGCCAUCUUGGGACUCCCAGCUCAGCGAACCCUCUUGGUAAACGCAACCCUAUCAGUGAGCCCAUACCAAGCCAGCCAAUUCACAGAGAUGUGAGAAAUAAUAAAUUGUUACUGUUUUAAACCUCUAAA